GACGAACGCUGGCGGCGUGCCUAACACAUGCAAGUCGAGCGAGAAUUUAGUAAUUGAUCCCUUCGGGGUGAUUUUGCUAAAGGAAAGCGGCGGACGGGUGAGUAACGCGUGAGUAACCUGCCCUUUGGAUGGGAUAACACAGAGAAAUCUGUGCUAAUACCGCAUAAUAUAUGUUUACCGCAUGAUAGACAUAUCAAAGCUUUAUGUGCUGAAAGAUGGUCUCGCGUCUGAUUAGCUAGAUGGCGGGGUAACGGCCCACCAUGGCGACGAUCAGUAGCCGGUCUGAGAGGAUGAACGGCCACAUUGGGACUGAGAUACGGCCCAGACUCCUACGGGAGGCAGCAGUGGGGAAUAUUGGGCAAUGGGGGAAACCCUGACCCAGCAACGCCGCGUGAAGGAAGAAGGCUUUCGGGUUGUAAACUUCUUUUACCAGGGACGAAGAACGUGACGGUACCUGGAGAAAAAGCAACGGCUAACUACGUG
This 483-nucleotide ribosomal RNA is filed under the name uncultured bacterium. RNAcentral's name for it is "bacterial SSU rRNA". It matches the Rfam family "Bacterial small subunit ribosomal RNA", at positions 28 to 507 of the family's 1533-position model. The record is from RNAcentral.